RNAcentral lists this ribosomal RNA (253 nucleotides) under uncultured bacterium. RNAcentral describes it as "partial 16S ribosomal RNA". It matches the Rfam family "Bacterial small subunit ribosomal RNA", at positions 524 to 776 of the family's 1533-position model. The record is from RNAcentral.
UACGUAGGGUGCAAGCGUUGUCCGGAAUUAUUGGGCGUAAAGAGCUCGUAGGCGGCUUGUCGCGUCGGCUGUGAAAACCUGGGGCUCAACCCCGGGCCUGCAUUCGAUACGGGCAGACUAGAGUUCGGUAGGGGAGACUGGAAUUCCUGGUGUAGCGGUGAAAUGCGCAGAUAUCGGGAAGAACACCCGUGGCGAAGGCGGCUCUCUGGGACGGUACUGACGCUGAGACGCGAAAGCGUGGGGAGCGAACAGG